RNAcentral lists this ribosomal RNA (93 nucleotides) under Methanosarcina thermophila. RNAcentral describes it as "16S rRNA. Archaeal SSU". It matches the Rfam family "Archaeal small subunit ribosomal RNA", at positions 21 to 114 of the family's 1478-position model. The record is from RNAcentral. Lineage: Archaea; Methanobacteriati; Methanobacteriota; Methanomicrobia; Methanosarcinales; Methanosarcinaceae.
AGGUUACUGCUAUCGGUGUUCGCCUAAGCCAUGCGAGUCAUAUGUUCUUCGUGAACAUGGCGUACUGCUCAGUAACACGUGGAUAACCUGCCC